This 198-nucleotide ribosomal RNA is filed under the name uncultured bacterium. RNAcentral's name for it is "partial 16S ribosomal RNA". It matches the Rfam family "Bacterial small subunit ribosomal RNA", at positions 328 to 539 of the family's 1533-position model. The record is from RNAcentral.
ACGCUCGACACCUACGGGAGGCAGCAGUGGGGAAUAUUGCACAAUGGAGGAAACUCUGAUGCAGCGACGCCGCGUGGAGGAAGAAGGUCUUCGGAUUGUAAACUCCUGUUGUUGAGGACGAUAAUGACGGUACUCAACAAGGAAGUGACGGCUAACUACGUGCCAACAGCCGCGGUAAUCUGAGCGGGCUGGCAAGGC